RNAcentral lists this transfer RNA (77 nucleotides) under Occallatibacter sp. RNAcentral describes it as "tRNA-Arg". It matches the Rfam family "tRNA". Rfam says of the family: Transfer RNA (tRNA) molecules are approximately 80 nucleotides in length. Their secondary structure includes four short double-helical elements and three loops (D, anti-codon, and T loops). Further hydrogen bonds mediate the characteristic L-shaped molecular structure. tRNAs have two regions of fundamental functional importance: the anti-codon, which is responsible for specific mRNA codon recognition, and the 3' end, to which the tRNAs corresponding amino acid is attached (by aminoacyl-tRNA synthetases). tRNAs cope with the degeneracy of the genetic code in two manners: having more than one tRNA (with a specific anti-codon) for a particular amino acid; and 'wobble' base-pairing, i.e. permitting non-standard base-pairing at the 3rd anti-codon position. The record is from RNAcentral. Lineage: Bacteria; Pseudomonadati; Acidobacteriota; Terriglobia; Terriglobales; Acidobacteriaceae.
GCGUCCGUGCCAGAGGGGAAUGAUGGCCUUCGCUACGAACGAAGUGAACGCAGGUUCGAAUCCUGCCGGGCGCUCCA